RNAcentral lists this small nuclear RNA (22 nucleotides) under Arabidopsis thaliana (thale cress). Its description in RNAcentral is "snRNA_07592". The record is from RNAcentral. Lineage: Eukaryota; Viridiplantae; Streptophyta; Magnoliopsida; Brassicales; Brassicaceae.
GUAAGAAACAAGUUUCCUUUGU